Molecule: small nuclear RNA, 193 nt
Organism: Raphanus sativus (radish)
Lineage: Eukaryota; Viridiplantae; Streptophyta; Magnoliopsida; Brassicales; Brassicaceae
Product: U2 spliceosomal RNA
Exons: 1
Source: RefSeq, a predicted model, not a curated record
AUACAUUUUUCAGCCUUUUGGGUAAGAUAAAGUGUAGUAUAUAGCUUUAUCAGUUUAAUAUUUGAUAUGUGAGCAUUAGCUCGUCCGAUAUUAACUCUAUUUUUUAAUGAAAAAAACCUAUUAAAAUAGCUUGCUAUCUAAGUUUUUAGAGUCUACUAUGUCUUGUACUAGUGCAUAGACUGGCUCAAUCCAC